This 1678-nucleotide long non-coding RNA is filed under the name Homo sapiens (human). RNAcentral's name for it is "HSALNT0306781". Lineage: Eukaryota; Metazoa; Chordata; Mammalia; Primates; Hominidae. The record is from RNAcentral.
GUCUCAAAAAAAAAAAAAAAAAAAAGGCUUUUUGCAUUUUCUAGCAAUGACUUUGAAUGAUUUAAUUUUUAUUUAAAAACCAGCUAACCUCCUCCAUCGGAAAAUGUCUAUCAAAACAGAGACAGCUGGACCAAUGUUUCAACGUUCCUGAACAAUUCUUCAGCAACUGGAGGUAAUAGUGCAAAGAAGGGUGCAGUCCCAGAGGCUCAGCCUGCGCUGACAGUGAAGUUCUAACAAGCUUCCCGCGGAUGGCUUCCAUUCUAGUAACAACUUUGGACAGGCAAGAACCUAACCAACAGUAUAUGUUGUCAAACUCCUGGAUUUUUGCCAGUCUCUAGGUAAGCGAUGGUACAGUAUAUCAGCUGGAGAAUCUUUUGUUCAUAUGUUUGAGCCAUUUGCUUUUCUUUUUCCUGUGAGCUAUUCAUAUUUUUUGCCCAUUUUUCUACUAGGUUGUCCUUAAGAUUUCAUAUAUAUGGAAUAUCAACACUUCAUCAAUUUCUCCCUUGAUUCCCAGAGAGCGAAGUUUUCCCAAUUCUAUCAAGGAAUUUACUUACAAAUUCUAUCAAGGAAUUUACUUACAUUGUCUUUGGGACUUUAAAAGUCUUUGAAGAGAUGGGGUCCUGCUGGUCUCAAGCUCCUGGGCUCAAGUGACCCUCCUUACAUCAGCUUCCGGAAUAGCUGGGACUCCAGGUACAAGCCGCUGCGCUCUGCAGGUUUCCCUUUUUAUGUCUGGGUUUCUGAUUCAUUUGGAAUUUAAAUAUACACUAUGCAAGAUGGAUCCAAUUUUAUCCUUUUCCACAGGGUGGUCUUAUUGUCAAAAUACCACUUGUUAGAAGUGAUUUUUACCACUGAUUUUAAAUGCUAUCUUUAUCAAUCACUAAAUUUCCAAAUGUACAUGGAUCGAUUUCUGGAUUUUAAACUUUUCCAUUGUUCUAUUCCUGGGCCAACACUACACAUUCACUUAUGGAGGUUCUCGACAUGUAACAUCUCAUAGGACCAGCAACCUUCCUCAUUGUUUUUUUCUAGGUUAUUUUUGCUGUUCUUGUUUAUUAGGUUCCACGUGAAGAAUCACCUUGUGUAUCUCUCGGUAAAAAGUUUUAUCAGGAUCAUGUCAACCCUAUGAAAUGGAGAAAGCUGAUAUCCCGCAGCCACUGAGUCUUCCUACCCCUCAGCAUGCUCCACCUGCCAUUAUACUUUCACAGGGAUGUUUUUGUUUUUAUGUAGGGUUGAAAGUUUUACCUAUUUCUUAAGUUUGGGGUUUUGGUGUGUGUGGUUUUUUUCUAAGAUAGGGUCUCACUCUGUCACCCAGGCUAGAGUCCAGUGACAUGACGGUAGCUCACUGCAGCCUCGACCUCCCAGGCUCAAGCAAUCCUCUCACCUCAUCCUCCCAAGUAGCUGGGACUACAGGCAUACACCACAACACCUGGCUAAUUUUUAAAAAUUUUUUGUAGAGAAGGGGGUCUCAUUACGUUGCCCAGGCUGGUCUAGAACACCUUGGCUCAAACAACGCUCCCACCUUGGCUUCCCAAAGUGCUGGGUUUACAGACAUGGAUUAUACUGCACCCAGCCAAGUUUAGGUCUCAUUUGUUCUAGUUUUUGUUACUGUAACUUAACUAUUCAGUUAUAACUUUUAAGUGCUUUGGUUCACUGAAUCUUACUUAACUUGCUACUUUACAAA